AUGGGUUGCCAUGCUUUGGACUUGUGGAAGCAGCGGCCGAGAAGAUGUUGUUGUAGACCAGGAGUGUGGUCGGUUGCAAUUUGUGAAGCAAAUCGCUUGCUCGGAGAAGAAAAUCCCCCUUCUCCAAUGACCAGGCUAGGUUGGGCCGCCACUGAAGGUAGCCACAUGCUGAGGCUAAGACGCCAGCCCAGACCACCCACGACCCACCAACGCACGCGCAGCAGCCGGCCCUCCUACCAGGGCACAACAUCUCCGAAGGACCUCCUCGUCGCCUUCACCAGGGCACAACAUCUCCGAAGGACCUCCUCAUCGCCGACGGCACUGUGCAGGCUUUGCCCGGCGGUGUACCAUGGCGGCGUGGAGAGGAGAAGAGGUGAUCUAGGUUUUCUUAUGGAGGCGGCGCCCUUCCUCCCCGGUGCGCCCACAACUGGCUGGGCCUCGGCCUCUCAAAAAGGACUCGAACCUAGGAACUACAGGCUUAUUGCUCAAAAAAAAAGGAACUACAGGCUUGGAUCUAGCCUUGGGAUCGGAAGUGAUUUUGAUGGCAGGCCCAUGGCAUCGAGCGCGACGGCGAGGGGAUGUGGAGGCUGUGGCCCUCUGACAGAGGAGGCAACGAAAGUCGGCUUGGCUGACUUAGAGUGCGGCCUCGCGUCCCGCUCCGAACACAUCAACGCAAGCGCCGUGCUCCGCCGCCGCGAUCUCUGUGACGCCGUGGGCAUCAAUGAGAGCCUGAGGGCGCUCUGUGCCAGGAUGGACUCCACGGCGUUCUUCUGGUUCGUUGCAGCGCGACACAAGAGAUCGAUGCAGCCUGCGCUCAGGUGUUGCUUGGAUCCGGGCAAGUCCGUCAUGAACACGAUCACCGACGUGUUCCCGAUGGACCGACUGGAGUUGAAAAACCUGCAACCCUUGCCUGGGGCCUGGGCAUGCAUGCUCAUCCAGGAGGAAACCGUGCAGACGCUGCCCAGCCCGCCCAUACCCGGAGAUCAUGCUGGCACGACCCUUGCGGCGGGCUACGCAAACCAUGCGCAAGGACCUAGGCCGUCUCCCUCGCGUGACCCACUCGCCAAACUCGACGGCUCCCGCUCCGGCUCGCAAAGGUCGCUGCUCCUGCUGGCCGGCAACUGUCCGCUCGCCAACCUCGCAAUCAAGGCCGCAGCUUCCCGAAACAAAGUUUUUCAUCCAGUGACCAGUAAGUUAGCACGGCAACAGACAAAAUCAAAAUCCAAGAUGGUACUACUCCCGAGAGCUCUAACAGUCGAGCUUUGCCUGAAACCUAAUCAGGCCGGCCCGGUCGAGCUUUGGCUGAAACCUCAGAUACGUAAUCGGGCCGGCCCAGUCGAGCUUCGGCUGAAUCCUCACCACGCACAGGCCCAAGCUCGCCUCGCCCAGAUCCCUUCCACCACCCCCGCCUCCAUCGCCCAUCGUCGUUGUGUAUCGUGGACACCUCAUCGGUCAGUCCUCUUCCUCUACUCCUCCCCACCACAUCGUCUGUUCAUUGAUCUACCGAGCUGCUAA
Molecule: ribosomal RNA, 1515 nt
Filed under: Triticum aestivum (bread wheat)
Lineage: Eukaryota; Viridiplantae; Streptophyta; Magnoliopsida; Poales; Poaceae
Description: partial small subunit ribosomal RNA
Source: RNAcentral